RNAcentral lists this ribosomal RNA (450 nucleotides) under uncultured bacterium. RNAcentral describes it as "bacterial SSU rRNA". It matches the Rfam family "Bacterial small subunit ribosomal RNA", at positions 29 to 524 of the family's 1533-position model. The record is from RNAcentral.
AACGAACGCUGGCGGCAUGCCUAACACAUGCAAGUCGAACGAGACCUUCGGGUCUAGUGGCGCACGGGUGCGUAACGCGUGGGAAUCUGCCCUUUGCUUCGGAAUAACAGUUAGAAAUGACUGCUAAUACCGGAUGAUGUCUUCGGACCAAAGAUUUAUCGGCAAAGGAUGAGCCCGCGUAGGAUUAGGUAGUUGGUGGGGUAAAGGCCUACCAAGCCGACGAUCCUUAGCUGGUCUGAGAGGAUGAUCAGCCACACUGGGACUGAGACACGGCCCAGACUCCUACGUGAGGCAGCAGUGGGGAAUAUUGGACAAUGGGCGCAAGCCUGAUCCAGCAAUGCCGCGUGAGUGAUGAAGGCCUUCGGGUCGUAAAGCUCUUUUACCAGGGAUGAUAAUGACAGUACCUGGAGAAUAAGCUCCGGCUAACUCCGUGCCAGCAGCCGCGGUAAU